RNAcentral lists this ribosomal RNA (306 nucleotides) under Triticum aestivum (bread wheat). Its description in RNAcentral is "partial small subunit ribosomal RNA". Lineage: Eukaryota; Viridiplantae; Streptophyta; Magnoliopsida; Poales; Poaceae. The record is from RNAcentral.
AUGUUGCCUUUUCCUUUACUUGUGUACUUGGAACCAAAUUGUUCGUUACCAAUUGUAUCGGGACACUUUUAUAGAAGAUACGGCUUACUGUGCAUUGAAACAAUAGCCGCAGAGUUUGGUCUUUGUAUUAUCUUUGUAUAUUUGAUUUGGAUUUGUCCUGAUUUAAGUAAAGGACCCUCCAUUAGUACUGAACCGUUUUGUGUUCAUUCUGUUGUUGUCUCCAGACAUUUGUAUUUGGAGAAUCAUUCUGAAACCAGGGUUCAAAGCGCUGAGAAAAUAUGGUUCUAUUUCUCAAUCUUGUGCUAA